CCUACGGGUGGCUGCAGUGAGGAAUAUUUGUCAAUGGGCGCGAGCCUGAACCAGCCAAGUAGCGUGAAGGAUUAAUGCCCUACGGGUUGUAAACUUCUUUUAUAAAGGAAUAAAGUGAGGCACGUGUGCCUUUUUGUAUGUACUUUAUGAAUAAGGAUCGGCUAACUCCGUGCAAGCAGCCGCGGUAAUCCGGAGGAUCCGUCCGUUAUCCGGAUUUAUUGGGUUUAAAGGGCGCGUAGAUGGGUUGUUAAGUCAGUUGUGAAAGUUUGCGGCUCAACCGUAAAAUUGCAAUUGAUACUGGGAGUCUUGAGUACAGUUGAGGUAGGCGGAAUUCGUGGUGUAGCGGUGAAAUGCGUAGAUAUCACGAAGAACUCCGAUUGCGAAGGCAGCUUACUAAACUGCCACUGACAUUGAUGCGCGAAAGUGUGGGUAUCAAACAGGAUUAGAUACCCCGGUAGUC
This 460-nucleotide ribosomal RNA is filed under the name uncultured bacterium. Its description in RNAcentral is "partial 16S ribosomal RNA". It matches the Rfam family "Bacterial small subunit ribosomal RNA", at positions 338 to 795 of the family's 1533-position model. The record is from RNAcentral.